Molecule: long non-coding RNA, 1367 nt
Organism: Perca fluviatilis (European perch)
Lineage: Eukaryota; Metazoa; Chordata; Actinopteri; Perciformes; Percidae
Exons: 4
Source: RefSeq, a predicted model, not a curated record
GUUGCUACUUUGGCUGUUUGGGGGCGAAUAAACAAACGACCCCGCGGUCACAUUCACCGGAAUGAUGCUAGGAGAAAAGUAGGCAUCGCUGUGAGAAGGAAUAUGGCGUUUGGUAUCGGUUUUGUUUGUGUUUCUGCAAAUAGACGGUUGCAGGUGGACUGGUGUUUACAUGGUCCGUGGGAGCUGGAAGUCCGCAGCUGUGUGGCGGCUGCAGUGCUUUUAUUAGUCUCCUAGCUGCAGACCUGCAGCCUCAAUGGAUGUCAUCUGGGAAGAAGAAGAGGAGCCUUGUAGAGACCAGCUGAAGGAACAUCUUCUCUGAGCUGAAGCUCUGAGAUGAGUGCAGAGUUUCCGGACCACAACGGAGAAGUUCCUUCACUCCAUUCAUGCCUUCUUCUCUCCGUACUCACUGUAUACUCAUAGUAUUGUAUGUCAUGAAAUAAUUUAAAGUAAAGUAAGUAAUAGUACGUAUAAUGUCAAAAAAAGCUCAGAAAAGUCAUACAUAAUGUCAAAAAGUGUUAUUACAUAGUUAUUACAUUGUUAUAACAUGUAUUAAUGACAAAAAUCUAUCAAAAAGUGUUAUUACAUAGUUAUUACAUUGUUAUAACAUGUAUUAAUGACCAAAACAUCUAUCAAAAAGUGUUAUUACACAGUUGUACACAGUACAUGCCAUAAAAGUGGGCGUAAAUUAUUUUUUCGUCCAUGAAAAAAAAAUUCAAAAAAAAUUCUAAUUUUUUUUUUUCUUAAAUGAGGAUGUUCUCUUCCUUUGUCGGAGUUGUCCUAUUCGGGUCUCUCCCUUGCUCUGAGGUGUCCUACUCUGGUCUCUCCCUUUCUCUGAUUUGUCCUACUCUGGUCUCUCCCUUUCUCUGAGGUGUUCUACUUUGGUCUCUCCCUUUGUCUGAGUUGUCCUACUCUUGUCUCUUCCUUUGUCUGAGGUGUCCUACUCUUGUCUCUCCCUUUGUCUGAGGUGUCCUACUCUUGUCUCUCCCUUUGUCUGAGGUGUCCUACUCUUGUCUCUCCCUUUGUCUGAGGUGUCCUACUCUUGUCUCUUCCUUUGUCUGAGGUGUCCUACUCUGGUCUCUUCCUUUGUCUGAGGUGUCCUACUCUGGUCUCUCCCUUUCUCUGAGGUGUCCUACUCUGGUCUCUCCCUUUCUCUGAGGUGUCCUACUCUGGUUUCUCCCUUGCUCUGAGGUGUCCUACUCUGGUCUCUCCCUUUCUCUGAGUUUUCCUACUCUGGUCUCUGCCUGUCCUUGUGUUAAUACUCUCCUACUCUCUUCUUGCCUGCACUUCCUUUCCUAGCCUCUCUUUCCUAUCUGGGGGGCCUAUCUAAGUGCACAUACGCUGAUACAGAGCUGGUCUUGAACCCGUCA